UGUCGGCAACCAUGUUGGUGCGUCGUGGUAUGCUGAUGGUGUAUUCAUACCCGUAAUGCCAACAUGCAUGCUUGCAC
RNAcentral lists this microRNA precursor (77 nucleotides) under Ascaris suum (pig roundworm). Its description in RNAcentral is "microRNA asu-mir-5358b precursor". Lineage: Eukaryota; Metazoa; Nematoda; Chromadorea; Rhabditida; Ascarididae. The record is from miRBase by way of RNAcentral.